UACACUGCUCAUUUCUCACCGCCAGUAAACCACAUCAAUAUCCUCACACAUACACAUGCACAUGCAGUGAGAGGAGAGAGAGAGAGAGAGAGAGAGAGAGAGAGAUUAAACUCUCUUCGAUUUGCUCAUCUUUCCAUGGCAAGCCAUGGUAGUAUAGUUGCUAGUAGGAUUGUUCUUUUGUGAUCGAUCUUAGUGUAUUAGAUUUACUUUCCUUCUAAAUCAGUAAAGAGGAUGACAAAUCUUUUCACAUCAAGAUUUCUAGAAUGAACUGCUUGUUUCAACAACAGUCGGCAAAGCAAGGAUGUCAUGCGUGGCUAAUGUUUCAGGAGUCAUUGAAGGUGGCGCAUUUCAUGGCGACAUGCAAGCUGAGACCCACACUCUGCAAUCCUUCUUGCGAACAGAAGCCUCCAUUCUUUUGCGCACCACUAUGCUUCGACCGGAGGUUGUCGAAGUCUCCCCAAUCUCCUGAGAAGCACACCCAUAGACACGAUGCAGUAUCAGCUUCAUCGAUCCCAACAGUCACAAAGUCUUACCUUAGAUAUGCUACGCAUCGAUUUCAUAAUGAGACGAGAACGAGCAGGAAGAAAUCAAUCGCAAGUUGUGCAAACAAGCACCAGGAAAAGAACCUAUAGAGCUCGGUAGAUCUCAAAAAGCUUAAGCGAAAACAUCGUGAGCUGUAUUGUGUACCUGUUGUGAAUGGGAUCAGGCCCCUUGGGCACUCUCCUCUUGCAGGCAUUGAGCGGGUCCAAGCUCCUGUUCAUGGUGAGCAUGUCUCUUGCUGAAGCCACGACUGCAACAGGCACCGGCGGUGGUGUUCCUCCGCUAAUCGUGGAUGCAGAGAGAAGGAGCUCGAUACACAAGCAGCAUACUAGGCCAGUAACCAAGGCCCUCGUGGACCUACCACCGCACAUUCUUCCCCUUCUCCUAAAUCCUCUUCCCUUGGAACAGCAGGUUGCCGUCGGAGUCGGAAGAGCAAAGCCAGGGAGAGAGGUGUGGGAUGCUGUUGUCUUGUGG
This 1014-nucleotide long non-coding RNA is filed under the name Musa acuminata (dwarf banana). RNAcentral describes it as "long non-coding RNA (MACU_LNC003035)". The record is from RNAcentral. Lineage: Eukaryota; Viridiplantae; Streptophyta; Magnoliopsida; Zingiberales; Musaceae.